Long non-coding RNA from Numida meleagris (helmeted guineafowl), 2863 nucleotides. RefSeq lists it as uncharacterized. The transcript has 3 exons. The record is from RefSeq and is a predicted model, not a curated record. NCBI's taxonomy places the organism in Eukaryota, Metazoa, Chordata, Aves, Galliformes, Numididae.
GGCCAUUUUCCAUUGUGUCUCUCCAGGGCGGGGUUAUCCAAAUUCUUCCAUAUUUACUUCAUUUAUGCUACUUGCUAUGAGACAGGGAUGCCGAGAUGCAGCAAUUGCCAAGGCAAGAGAACAAACCCAGAGGAACGCUGCGAACAUCCGCUCGCAGGAGGCGUGCCCCUCUCCUUUCCCAGGCAGCUCAGUAAGAGAUCGAGUUCCCUUGACAAAGGCUGCAGAUGCUCCGUGAACACCUUUUAAGAAGCAAAUGCUGCAGAACGCUCUCCAUAACAAAGACUGUUCCUCAACUAUCAUUUUAUUCCCGUGAUUUCUCCCCCAUUAUUCAUUUUUCUCAAAUUUGCCCCUUCUGCCUCCUGGCUGCGUCCUCCUACUCCUUCCACAGGCUACAGGCAAGGCCCCCAGCUGGGCAAUCCACAGCACUAGUUACAGCUCAGGAACAAUUUUCCCUAGCUCCACUUACCAUUAAAAGAGAAACAGAUGGACAAAAGACACCGAGCUACUCGUAACCAGCUCCUAGAAAACUCUCAGCAUGCCAGCACCUGCCCUGGCUCUGUGCAGAGCUUCACUACCGCUCCGAUCGUGCACUGACCCCCAGGACCGGGCUCCUGCCACCCCACCAGCACUCAGGUGCAUGGGCCCCUCAAGCCCUUCACAGCUCCUGGCCCCCAAAGGCAUGCUGUCCUUGUCAGCAUGCUGUCCUUGUCAGCGUGCUGCCCCAGCCGUUGGCACCGCUCACCUCCCUUCACUGAGCUCCUUCUCCCUUUUCCCCUGCUCUGUCGAAGUCACAGAUACCUCCGCUCCAGUUCCACCACUGGGCUGGGCUCAGGUACGCCGCAGCUCAGCCCAGCAGGCAAGGAAAAUCUUUGUGUGUCUCAGUACAUGGAGAGGUGCCAGCUGCAGGCAGGCAGGUUGGUGUUUGGCUAGCUCGUACGUGCUAAUAGGGACGUUGCACUCUUGCAGGGCAAUAAUUUCAGGCCCAACAAGGAAACUGGGUAAUUACAGAGAAAAGCAGCAGGUGCUUCAAUCAUGCCUACUCUGUGUCAGGUCUUUUAAAAUGUCAUUGAAAAGAAAUGGUGGGAUAAUGAAGGCCUUGACUCAUUUUCAAAGCAGCUAAGUACAAGGCAGGCCAGCCAAAGGAAGGAACAAGGUUGGAAGUGCUACAUCAUCCUUCCUGCUUCCCGGGGGCUGACCCCAGAGGGUGUGAGAUCUGGGGCAGGAUGGCACGAGCACGGGAUAGAAUAAAAUAGGAACACAGUCAUCUGAAUUCUUUUGCUGUAGACGUCUCUGAUUUAAGUACCAGCCUCGACUUUACUUUGGUUGAUCUCGUUCAUUUUGUAUUUUAUUUGUGGCUCUUUUUCACCAUUUUCCCUUUUAUACAGCAUCAGAAAAGCAUUAACUCACAACUUUGCUCCAUUCCACUGCCAUAACUGCCUAAAUAUCCUUCCUGAUGUUUUGACAUACAUCAUUUGGACAGACAAAAAUUUAAACCAUGGAAGCUAGAGGAUGUUUUAGGAAAUUAGAAAAUAUAUGGACAACUGCUCCGUUAUUUUAACAAUAUGAAGACUCAACACUUCCACUACUCUGCCAGCAAGUGCAAGAAAAUAUGCGCUUACACUGCACAAAUAUAGCACUCAGCAUACCGAUUUUGAGUCAUAAAAUACUUUUACUACGGCCUCUGAGUGCACAUGCUAUCAGCACACAAUCACAAACAUACAUUACAGCACAGGUUGUUUUCAGGGCGAAGUACCUCGUUUCUAUAGGCAACAAAAGCACACGUACUGUUCGAGCACACACAUGCCAGGUAUGCAAAAAUGCCCAUCCACGCAGUGCAACAAAGGCUGAAGAAUUGCACCAGUAUAUUGAUUCAGAAUAAACUGCACAUUAGCAAAUUCACAUUUGCUGUGAUAGGAAAUAACGCACCUGAUGCAAUCAAAAAGUGACCCCAGUUGUUUGACCCGGAAAACAGAACAACCAAAUGAAAUGACACCCAUGCACUGUGUAUGUACAAAAUGGCUGCUGGCACAGCAUUCUCAAAAGAGACAUCCAUACACUGACAUUGUGCUCAAUGCACGUGACCAGAUCCUCUAAGCAUAUGUUCACUCGCACAAAUAAACUUCAGAAGAACAAUGCGCCCAUUGCACAUAAUGAGCCGAAAAUGAACGCUUUGGAAGGGGGAAACAUGCUACACAAAUCCUCAUAAAAUUCAGACGCCUCAAAUGAAGGUUUCAUUUAAUAGGCCCAAUGCACUGAGUUGUGUUUUCCCUGUAGGGCUCACCACAGCACACACAACAGCGGGCUCGAGAUCCCAGCUGGCCCCACAUGGGCUUGGCACCUACAGUUCAUAAACCAGGCGUACCAUUUUAUCGCCGCCCAGACGGAGCACAAGUAUUGCUGGAUUUCAUCCCCCAGAGCUGGCUCUCAGUGUCCAGAUUGCAGUGUCAACCAGCCAAGAGACCUGCUGGAGGUUCACUGGCAGCUCUCCAAAGCUUCCCUUGACUGGGGGACCUGGGCUCAGAGCUCACAGAGAGGGCAAAUUACUGCAGCCUUCACACAGGCAUCUGCACAAGCACCCUGCCCUCCUGCUCCGCUACCUUUGUGACUGCAGGGGAGGGCAUCAGUCCCAAGUUCAUAGUAGAUCAGGUCACAAUUUGAGCCGUGAAACAACUGGAGGGGAUAAAAAGAGAGUCAGGAUCUGUGAUAACUUUACACACGGCUGAUGUAACAGAAACCAAUGCACCUAGUGAAAUGCAUCAGUGGGCAACGCCAGAGAAAGUCAGAGAAAUCACAUUUGGUGCUGCUCCCUCAGCUCUGCUCCCCCAAAGGUCACAGCCUCCUUCAGAUUGGCUCUAUAUAGCAG